RNAcentral lists this long non-coding RNA (921 nucleotides) under Bos taurus (domestic cattle). Its description in RNAcentral is "long non-coding RNA NONBTAT018226". The record is from RNAcentral. Lineage: Eukaryota; Metazoa; Chordata; Mammalia; Artiodactyla; Bovidae.
UCAGAGACUGACUCUUGGAUGGCGGGCUAGCAGUCUAUAAUUUUAAAAAGGUGAUUUUGAUCUGAUAAAUCUGAUGGUCUGCCUUACAAACCACUAUUGUGUUUUGAAUUAAAAGAUCUUUUCUUAUAGCAGAACCAAAAUGUAGGGAUGACACAUCAUAUCUACUAGCCUGGAGAAAAAGGAUUGAUAUUUGUAAUCAAAGAAAUGAAAAGUUGCCUGUAUCUUUUUGGUGGAAAAUACUGAAAAUUUGUGAUGGAUCAUGUUUCAGAAUUUAGUUGGCCAGGCUUUGGACCAUCUAAGAAAUCAGCACAUCUAAGAAAGUUAAAAAAUUAAAUAACAGUAAAUAGCCAUUGGCAGGAAGGACUGUAACAGCAGCUUUAUUUUGUUGACAGUCACAUCUUAGCCACUUGAUUAAAACUCUGGGGUGUAAAAUUGCCAUCUUUAGGCUCCUAUGUAAAGAGGAAGUAUUCUGCUCCUUAAUGGUCAGUCUUAGGGAAUAAAUAACCUUACAAUUUCAGCCUUUCAACAGAUUUCACCUCCUGGCGUGAAAAUUCUAAGAACUGUUAGAGUUAUUCAUAAGUGGAUCUUGAAGUGCCAUUUUCAUCUUGGAUGGUUUGACUCUAGACCUCUAGUUUAGUGCGUUGUACCUGACGGGUUGUGACUUUUCACAAGGUGCUGCUUUCUAAGAAUAGAUGGACCACAUUUUAAAAACCUGUUCCUUGCCUUGUUCAUUUUUUAUUCUCUUAUGUAUUCUAUUUGUGUUUUAUUUAUACACAUUUUGGAGUAUUUAAAAAUAACUGGUGGUUCUUCGAAUUUAUUUGCUCACCUUAUAUUCUUAAAUUCUCUCUGAUUUGUGGCUGUUCUCUCUGAUUUGUAGCUAUAACUUUGUUUGGACCUUGAUGGCCUCAUCUGACUAGUUAC